UUUUGCAGAAAACUUGUCUGCAAUAGAAGUCUUCUUCCAACAGGACUCCAAUUUUGUUAUUCUUCUUGUAGGAAGCGAUUUGCAUCCUGAAGAUCUUCUUCUGAUUAUGAAUAAUAAAGCUCCUGCUGCGUCCCUAUCUUCUUGCGGAUAAUUGUGGAUAUCAUAUACAAUAAGAACUCAUCUUAUAGUUAUCCAUAUAUAUUACGCAGCAACCGAACUAAUAAAUCCAAAUUUCAGAUUCUUCAAGGUUAUAAGCUGCUAUCUCUGAUAAGAAUUCGUAGGUUAUCUCCAAGUAAAGACUUCUAACUAUUGUAGGGAACUAGCACUAUAUAUAGAGUGCUAAAGUUCAUAUUUUUNUUUUCUACAAACUCAAGCUUGGAUCGCAGAAAUCCUCUUCCUCUUUCAAUUUUCUUUCGUUGACAGCGUUGGGGUUGAAUCUUGGUGAGUUCUUCUUCCCAUAACUGUAAGAAAUCUGUUUCUGUAGUCUGCCCUCCAUAUGUUCGAUGAAUUGUCUGACAGAAAAAUAAUCAACUUCAAGCUUGUUUUCUAUCGAGUUUUGCUGCGAUUUUUUUUAUUAUUGUUUUUCACAGAUAACUGGAGAUCCAAUAUAUAAUCACUUGACUUUAAAUGAAGUAGAGUGUGGAGAGAAGCAGCGGCGGGAUGGGCUCCUUGUUGCUGCCCUGUUUUGCCGGAGCUGCGCGCGUAGCGACAAUCCCCAGAAGCGGCGGCGGUGCGGCUCUCCUCGCUGGUGCUAUCCAUCGGAGAAUGUGUUGUGCUUCCAGCUAGGGAGACAAAUGCGGAGCUUGGAGGUUAAACUCGCCGGAUUACCAUCAAUGGCGUCGACAUUUAUGCAGCAAUUCGCAAAGAAGAAGACCUUCGGGAAGCGAUCGUCGAAGAAGUAUUUGGAGGAGGCGCUGUACAAGAAGCUGUUCAGCGAUGGCGGUGAUGGAGGAAUUCAGGCUUCGGUUUUGCAGCAGUCAUUGGCUUCUUUUUAGCGGGCGCGGGAGCAGUCGGAACCGGCUUGGAGCACGGAGGGAUGGAGUGGGGUUGUACUCGGUGAGGGAGUUGCUUUGCUUGAUCACAUUCGAGCGUGGAGAGAAGCAGCGGCGGGAGUUCGAGGCAAUCUUUAAUGACUCCUCAAUCAAAUUAUGCAGAUGGAUGAUAGCAGCAACAACACCGAUUAUGGUCAACCAUCUGUUUCUCCAUAUUCUCAAAAUUAUCCUGUGCGGCAUCUAUUUCCUACACUCGUCAAGAUUAUGCUGCGACUUU
This 1269-nucleotide long non-coding RNA is filed under the name Salvia miltiorrhiza (redroot sage). Its description in RNAcentral is "long non-coding RNA (SMIL_LNC012387)". The record is from RNAcentral. Lineage: Eukaryota; Viridiplantae; Streptophyta; Magnoliopsida; Lamiales; Lamiaceae.